Molecule: ribosomal RNA, 489 nt
Filed under: uncultured bacterium
Lineage: Bacteria
Description: partial 16S ribosomal RNA
Rfam family: Bacterial small subunit ribosomal RNA
Source: RNAcentral
UGGGGAAUUUUGGACAAUGGGCGAAAGCCUGAUCCAGCAAUGCCGCGUGUGUGAAGAAGGCCUUCGGGUUGUAAAGCACUUUUGUCCGGAAAGAAAUCCUUGGCUCUAAUACAGUCGGGGGAUGACGGUACCGGAAGAAUAAGCACCGGCUAACUACGUGCCAGCAGCCGCGGUAAUACGUAGGGUGCAAGCGUUAAUCGGAAUUACUGGGCGUAAAGCGUGCGCAGGCGGUUUGCUAAGACCGAUGUGAAAUCCCCGGGCUCAACCUGGGAACUGCAUUGGUGACUGGCAGGCCAGAGUAUGGCAGAGGGGGGUAGAAUUCCACGUGUAGCAGUGAAAAUGCGUAGAGAUGUGGAGGAAUACCGAUGGCGAAGGCAGCCCCCUGGGCCAAUACUGACGCUCAUGCACGAAAAGCGUGGGGAGCAAAACAGGAUUAGAUACCCUGGUAGUCCACGCCCUAAAACGAUGUCAACUAGUUGUUGGGGAUUC